RNAcentral lists this ribosomal RNA (484 nucleotides) under uncultured bacterium. Its description in RNAcentral is "partial 16S ribosomal RNA". It matches the Rfam family "Bacterial small subunit ribosomal RNA", at positions 28 to 507 of the family's 1533-position model. The record is from RNAcentral.
AUUGAACGCUGGCGGCAUGCUUUACACAUGCAAGUCGAACGGCAGCGCGGGCUUCGGCCUGGCGGCGAGUGGCGAACGGGUGAGUAAUGCAUCGGAACGUGCCCAGUAGUGGGGGAUAGCCCGUCGAAAGCCGGAUUAAUACCGCAUACGACCUGAGGGUGAAAGCGGGGGACCGAAAGGCCUCGCGCUAUUGGAGCGGCCGAUGUCGGAUUAGCUAGUUGGUGGGGUAAAGGCUUACCAAGGCGACGAUCCGUAGCUGGUCUGAGAGGACGACCAGCCACACUGGGACUGAGACACGGCCCAGACUCCUACGGGAGGCAGCAGUGGGGAAUUUUGGACAAUGGGGGCAACCCUGAUCCAGCCAUGCCGCGUGCGGGAAGAAGGCCUUCGGGUUGUAAACCGCUUUUGUUCGGGAAGAAAUCCUCUGGGCUAAUACCCCGGGGGGAUGACGGUACCGGAAGAAUAAGCACCGGCUAACCACGUG